RNAcentral lists this long non-coding RNA (1440 nucleotides) under Meleagris gallopavo (turkey). Its description in RNAcentral is "lncRNA (ENSMGAG00000017892.1)". Lineage: Eukaryota; Metazoa; Chordata; Aves; Galliformes; Phasianidae. The record is from RNAcentral.
GGGGUUUAGAGCAGUGAGGGGCAACCAAUACUAAUUGGCAAGUGUGAAACGGGUGUCUGAAUAAUCUGAUCUCUGUGUCCUCUCUAGGAAAGACAGGCAGCAACCCCAUAACAGGGACAAGGAAACUCCCACAUUCACAUGAAAUACAAGAAGCUUAUUGCCUGGCUUGACAUACAGCUCAUAUGAUGGAUGUGUUCACUUUGAUGAAUAACAUCUGGAUGGAUGUGUGUAUGGGGCUGCUGAAUCACGGCCUGAACCUCUGAUUAAUCACCUGAGGCAAGCAAUGAGUCAGCCACGGGAGCACAGGUGAAGGCAAUUCACCUGUGCUGCUGGAAGGGGUGGAGCUUGGAUCCAUUAAGAGCUGACUGCCAGUGGGGAAGGAUCUCAUCUGGAGAUCCACCCUACUGGAGUUUCCCUUGCGAGCCCAGGUUAGAGGUGAGUAUACCUAUCAUUUCUGUUUCCUGCUUUGGUGUAAUAACAUCAUAGCCAAGCUCUCUGUUAUACCUUAACAUCUGUAUAUUUGUUAACUGUACACUGCUAUACCAUAACAUCAGCAUAUUCAUUAAUUGUACAGGUGUGUCAUUACAAGAGGACAUGCAUCAAACAACUCGUGUCUGGUCUUUGGUUCCUUUGUUACCCAACAGUGGAGGGAAAGAAAGUAGAACGUUCUGCCUUCUCUCAGUACAGAAGUAGGCACUUAAAAUGGGCUAAUCAGUGGAAUUGUAUCCUUGUAGUCAAGUAAACAUUGAGAAAGGAAUUCAGGAAAAAUUUCUGUGGGGAAAAAUAAAAACAAUACAUCUGGAUGAUAGUAAAAAGGGACAUGAAGUCAAACUUCUAGAACAGUAAAAAGACACGACUUGGCAGGAGCUAGUAAAUAACAAAAACUUCCAGGAAAAAAAAAAGUGGUUUAAAUUACUCAGUAUACGUAUAAUAAAUAACACCUGCUUCUUGACAAUGAAUACAGCAGAUAAGAAUGAUGAACUGUUGGGGGAAAAACAUACCAGAAUUCCUUCAGGACAUAAUUUCAUCUUCAAGACACUUUCAAACAGGGGCAGUGAAGAAGAACAAGCAGGAAGGUUGCGAAAAGCUGGAGAGUGCUGCAGAUAGGGACUCACAACAACUUUGUGAUCCAUUCACAAGACCACUGCUGAAAGUCCUCUGUUUCCUCUCACACCUCUUUUGUCUGCUGCAAUGUUUGUUUUUUUUUUUUCCCCUGUAUGUGAUUUACUUUUUUUUCUAUGUUUACAAAAAAGAACCAGAUUUGCUCCUCAGGGUCUCCAGUUCCCUUCUACACCUUCCCAGCUCUCACUCCUCAUCUUUGUUUCCACCCACCUCCUCUGCAGGGUGUGAGUUCCCUUCCUAGGGUGAAGUUAAUCUUAUUUCUGCCUGUUUUCCCCUCCUUCUGAAUGAGCUUUUCCCUUUGAAGUGGUAGGAUCCCCA